UACAGAGGGUGCGGGCGUUAAUCGGAUUUACUGGGCGUAAAGGGCGCGUAGGCGGUUGAUUAAGUGAGAUGUGAAAUCCCUGGGCUUAACCUAGGAACUGCAUUUUAUACUGAUUGACUAGAGUAUUGUAGAGGGUAGUGGAAUUUCCGGUGUAGCGGUGAAAUGCGUAGAGAUCGGAAGGAACACCAGUGGCGAAGGCGGCUACCUGGACAAAUACUGACGCUGAGGCGCAAGAGCGUGGGGAGCAAACAGG
This 253-nucleotide ribosomal RNA is filed under the name uncultured bacterium. RNAcentral's name for it is "partial 16S ribosomal RNA". It matches the Rfam family "Bacterial small subunit ribosomal RNA", at positions 524 to 776 of the family's 1533-position model. The record is from RNAcentral.